RNAcentral lists this ribosomal RNA (253 nucleotides) under uncultured bacterium. RNAcentral's name for it is "partial 16S ribosomal RNA". It matches the Rfam family "Bacterial small subunit ribosomal RNA", at positions 524 to 776 of the family's 1533-position model. The record is from RNAcentral.
UACGUAGGGGGCAAGCGUUGUCCGGAAUCAUUGGGCGUAAAGCGCGUGUAGGCGGCUAGGUAAGUCUGCUCUGAAAGCCCGGGGCUCAACCCCGGGAGGCGGGUGGAUACUGUCUAGCUCGAGUCCGGAAGAGGAGUGUGGAAUUCCGCGUGUAGCAGUGAAAUGCGUAGAGAUGCGGAGGAACACCGAUGGCGAAGGCAGCCCCCUGGGCCAACACUGACGCUCAGGCACGAAAGCGUGGGGAGCAAACAGG